AGAGUUUGAUCCUGGCUCAGGACGAACGCUGCGGCGUGCUUAACACAUGCAAGUCGAACGGAGCACCUUCGAAAGAGACUUCGGUCAAUGGAAAAGAAUGCUUAGUGGCGGACGGGUGAGUAACGCGUGAGGAACCUGCCUUUCAGUGGGGGACAACAGUUGGAAACGACUGCUAAUACCGCAUAACGUACGGGUAUCGCAUGGUAUCUGUACCAAAGAUUUAUCGCUGAGAGAUGGCCUCGCGUCUGAUUAGCUAGUUGGUAGGGUAACGGCCUACCAAGGCGACGAUCAGUAGCCGGACUGAGAGGUUGGCCGGCCACAUUGGGACUGAGAUACGGCCCAGACUCCCACGGGAGGCAGCAGUGGGGAAUAUUGGGCAAUGGGCGAAAGCCUGACCCAGCAACGCCGCGUGAAGGAAGAAGGCUUUCGGGUUGUAAACUUCUUUUGACAGGGAAGAGCAGAAGACGGUACCUGUCGAAUAAGCCACGGCUAACUACGUG
RNAcentral lists this ribosomal RNA (500 nucleotides) under uncultured Oscillibacter sp. Its description in RNAcentral is "bacterial SSU rRNA". It matches the Rfam family "Bacterial small subunit ribosomal RNA", at positions 8 to 507 of the family's 1533-position model. The record is from RNAcentral. Lineage: Bacteria; Bacillati; Bacillota; Clostridia; Eubacteriales; Oscillospiraceae.